Molecule: unclassified non-coding RNA, 488 nt
Filed under: Hevea brasiliensis (rubber tree)
Lineage: Eukaryota; Viridiplantae; Streptophyta; Magnoliopsida; Malpighiales; Euphorbiaceae
Source: RNAcentral
GAAAAUGUCAUCAAAGUAAGUGGGACAUGACAAAUCUGAUGAGUGGACAUUAUCAGAUAAUAUCAAAUUCUCGACUGCAGGUAUGGGAAGAUGAUCAACUCUAGUUGCUGCUCAAAAGCGUUUAGUGAAUAGUGAUAUGCUGGAUUUUGAAAUAUGGAAUACGACAUGUCAAGUCUACAGAAAAAUAAUUCAACUCUACUAGAAAUCUCCACAAGUCUGAUCAACAUUCCAUAGACAAGAGAUAUAGUUUGUGGAAAUCCUGCAUUGGCUUGAAACACUUACAAAUAUAAAGACGGUAGUCUAUAUGGAAUGGAGAAAGCCAAGGAGAGUAACUUGGGCACAUAAAAAAUGGCUUGCACUAAUUGACUGCACUCAGUCAUGCUACAAAGCUAUCACAUUUUUUCUUGAUUCAGUUCUUUUGUUUGUCAACUCUUACUGAUCUGUAGGGUGAUCUUGUUUUGAAUGUUUUUUUUUUUUGUGUGUGUGGG